Non-coding RNA from Lepisosteus oculatus (spotted gar), 1449 nucleotides. The record is from RefSeq and is a predicted model, not a curated record. NCBI's taxonomy places the organism in Eukaryota, Metazoa, Chordata, Actinopteri, Semionotiformes, Lepisosteidae.
CCAGGGCACUGCUCUGCUCAGGCACUUCUGGCACCCCUCUAAACCAGUCCAACAUCUCGCCGCUGAACUUUGGGCCAAUACUUUCUUGCUUUCCUCCCCUCAUUGAGAGCUAAAUGGUUUUCUGAACACACCCCUUUCCUGUCGCAAUAUUGCAGAAUUUUAGGGGAAGUCCAAACAAGCUCCUGUUCUUGCUCACAAACACAACAGAAGAGAAGAGCGCAGUGCUUUGGUAGCUGGUUAACUUUCCUGCUGCUUACAGGUGUUUUUUUUCCUCCUCCCAAAAUGGCAAGGUCUAGGAAAGAUAUCUACUGUACAAUGUGUAUAGUUGCGCUACUCCUAUGGGCUGUAGCCACUAGUGUUACCAUCAUACUUCUUUCCACGACAGACACGAUGAAAACUCUAACUCAGUGUAAAAUGGAAUUACAGAAUGAAACUCAAAAGCACCUGCAGGAGAAGUCCUCGUGGGAGAAGGACAGGAAAACCCUUAAGGAGCUCCUGGAGAAAGGACGUGUAAAUCAGACCAGGCUGCAGCGUGAUCUUGCCGUGAGCCAGGGACAGCUGAAGCAGAGUGAUGAGUCCCUAAUGGCAUGUCUGCGGGACAUGAAACUAUUAAAUGGAACCAAAACAUUCCUGCAAAGAAAAAUUGAUGAGGAGCAAAAAAAGUGUGCCAAUGACAAAAAGCAUCUAGAAGAUACGUUGACUUCAGAUUUUCAACAGAAGCUCCAGGAAGAAAAGAAAAAGUACAAGCAAGAAUGUGAAAAACAGAAGAAAGAGCUGGGCAGUCAGGGUGAAUCUUUAAAUGGGGCAUCUGGUGGGCACAAACCUGAAUACUGCUGCUUCAUUUAUGCCUUGGGUGUAGCAGUACUAAUGACCCCUCUCCUUUUUUGAUCUGAGGGUGUGGCAGAAGAGGCUUUGAGUGCAGAGCUGUGAAGUAUGAAGAAGACAUCGCUCCCCAGCGCAGCAGAGCUCAGUUCCCAUGCCUUGACAUAGAAGAAUGCAGUAGUGCCACAUUAAACUGCUGAUACAUUUUUAGAGCACCUCACCUUAUUAUAAGGGAUCAAAAAAGCAAACCGAAAAUGGUCGCUACGCCACCUACUCUUUGUACCUGUAUUUAUCUGAGAAAGAGAAUUGAGUAAAAGGAGAAAGGAGUGAGCAUUUAACCUCAUUUCAAAAUCAUCUGCUUCAGUACAUUGGACACUUUUUGGGUCACAUGAUGGCCUUGUUCUAGAAUGUCUGCAGCAUUAAGAGAAAAUUGCUCGGGUGGGAAAGGUAAAGUAUUAAUACAAUAUGUACUGAAUAGGACAGGGUUAAUUCAGUGACUGUUCUAUGUUCUCAAAGCUCAGCAGUCUGAAAAGUUCAAUCAUCCAAAAAGGUAUUUUAUACAAAACUUUAAUACUGUUUGUACUUUUAAUUUUUUAACAUGAAAUAAAACACAAUAAGUAAUGCCAA